AAAUUGAAGAGUUUGAUCAUGGCUCAGAUUGAACGCUGGCGGCAGGCCUAACACAUGCAAGUCGAACGGUAACAGGAAGCAGCUUGCUGCUUUGCUGACGAGUGGCGGACGGGUGAGUAAUGUCUGGGAAACUGCCUGAUGGAGGGGGAUAACUACUGGAAACGGUAGCUAAUACCGCAUAACGUCGCAAGACCAAAGAGGGGGACCUUCGGGCCUCUUGCCAUCGGAUGUGCCCAGAUGGGAUUAGCUAGUAGGUGGGGUAACGGCUCACCUAGGCGACGAUCCCUAGCUGGUCUGAGAGGAUGACCAGCCACACUGGAACUGAGACACGGUCCAGACUCCUACGGGAGGCAGCAGUGGGGAAUAUUGCACAAUGGGCGCAAGCCUGAUGCAGCCAUGCCGCGUGUAUGAAGAAGGCCUUCGGGUUGUAAAGUACUUUCAGCGGGGAGGAAGGGAGUAAAGUUAAUACCUUUGCUCAUUGACGUUACCCGCAGAAGAAGCACCGGCUAACUCCGUGCCAGCAGCCGCGGUAAUACGGAGGGUGCAAGCGUUAAUCGGAAUUACUGGGCGUAAAGCGCACGCAGGCGGUUUGUUAAGUCAGAUGUGAAAUCCCCGGGCUCAACCUGGGAACUGCAUCUGAUACUGGCAAGCUUGAGUCUCGUAGAGGGGGGUAGAAUUCCAGGUGUAGCGGUGAAAUGCGUAGAGAUCUGGAGGAAUACCGGUGGCGAAGGCGGCCCCCUGGACGAAGACUGACGCUCAGGUGCGAAAGCGUGGGGAGCAAACAGGAUUAGAUACCCUGGUAGUCCACGCCGUAAACGAUGUCGACUUGGAGGUUGUGCCCUUGAGGCGUGGCUUCCGGAGCUAACGCGUUAAGUCGACCGCCUGGGGAGUACGGCCGCAAGGUUAAAACUCAAAUGAAUUGACGGGGGCCCGCACAAGCGGUGGAGCAUGUGGUUUAAUUCGAUGCAACGCGAAGAACCUUACCUGGUCUUGACAUCCACGGAAGUUUUCAGAGAUGAGAAUGUGCCUUCGGGAACCGUGAGACAGGUGCUGCAUGGCUGUCGUCAGCUCGUGUUGUGAAAUGUUGGGUUAAGUCCCGCAACGAGCGCAACCCUUAUCCUUUGUUGCCAGCGGUCCGGCCGGGAACUCAAAGGAGACUGCCAGUGAUAAACUGGAGGAAGGUGGGGAUGACGUCAAGUCAUCAUGGCCCUUACGACCAGGGCUACACACGUGCUACAAUGGCUCAUACAAAGAGAAGCGACCUCGCGAGAGCAAGCGGACCUCAUAAAGUGCGUCGUAGUCCGGAUUGGAGUCUGCAACUCGACUCCAUGAAGUCGGAAUCGCUAGUAAUCGUGGAUCAGAAUGCCACGGUGAAUACGUUCCCGGGCCUUGUACACACCGCCCGUCACACCAUGGGAGUGGGUUGCAAAAGAAGUAGGUAGCUUAACCUUCGGGAGGGCGCUUACCACUUUGUGAUUCAUGACUGGGGUGAAGUCGUAACAAGGUAACCGUAGGGGAACCUGCGGUUGGAUCACCUCCUUA
This 1542-nucleotide ribosomal RNA is filed under the name Escherichia coli. RNAcentral's name for it is "bacterial SSU rRNA". It matches the Rfam family "Bacterial small subunit ribosomal RNA". RNAcentral also lists the same sequence under 1 other name. Lineage: Bacteria; Pseudomonadati; Pseudomonadota; Gammaproteobacteria; Enterobacterales; Enterobacteriaceae. The record is from RNAcentral.